This 661-nucleotide ribosomal RNA is filed under the name uncultured bacterium. RNAcentral describes it as "bacterial SSU rRNA". It matches the Rfam family "Bacterial small subunit ribosomal RNA", at positions 74 to 716 of the family's 1533-position model. The record is from RNAcentral.
AGGAUAAGGAUUACGCCCGAGUGUUUGGACGGGUGAGUAACGCGUGGAGAACUUGUCCUUAAGUUAGGGAUAACCUGGUGAAAGUUGGGCUAAUCCUUAAUAGUCUGAUAGGAAGGCAUCUUCCAAUCAGUAAAGGUGUGUUUAUACACAUCGCUUUUGGAGAGCUCCGCGUCGGAUUAGCUAGCUGGUAGAGUAAAAGCCUACCAGGGCAACAAUCCGUAGCUGGUCUGAGAGGACGAUCAGCCACACUGGAACUGAGACACGGUCCAGACUCCUACGGGCAGGCAGCAGUGGGGAAUCUUCCACAAUGGGCGAAAGCCUGAUGGAGCAACGCCGCGUGAGUGAAGAAGGCCUUCGGGUUGUAAAGCUCUGUCCUUGGGGAAGAACCGUAGUGAUAGCAAAUGCUCACUACCUGACGGUACCCAUGGAGGAAGCACUGGCUAACUACGUGCCAGCAGCCGCGGUAAUACGUACAGUGCAAGCGUUGUCCGGAAUCAUUGGGCGUAAAGGGUACGCAGGCGGAUAUGCAAGUCAAAUGUGAAAACUACCGGCUUAACUGGUAGACUGCGUUUGAAACUGUAUAUCUUGAGUGCAGCAGAGGAGAGCGGAAUUUCUAGUGUAGUGGUGGAAUCACGUAGAUAUUAGAAAGAACACCAGUGGC